GCGCGGUAGUUCAGUUGGUUAGAACGCCGGCCUGUCACGCCGGAGGUCGAGGGUUCAAGUCCCUUCCGCG
Molecule: transfer RNA, 70 nt
Filed under: Pseudoflavonifractor capillosus
Lineage: Bacteria; Bacillati; Bacillota; Clostridia; Eubacteriales; Oscillospiraceae
Also listed under: 17 other names
Rfam family: tRNA
About the family: Transfer RNA (tRNA) molecules are approximately 80 nucleotides in length. Their secondary structure includes four short double-helical elements and three loops (D, anti-codon, and T loops). Further hydrogen bonds mediate the characteristic L-shaped molecular structure. tRNAs have two regions of fundamental functional importance: the anti-codon, which is responsible for specific mRNA codon recognition, and the 3' end, to which the tRNAs corresponding amino acid is attached (by aminoacyl-tRNA synthetases). tRNAs cope with the degeneracy of the genetic code in two manners: having more than one tRNA (with a specific anti-codon) for a particular amino acid; and 'wobble' base-pairing, i.e. permitting non-standard base-pairing at the 3rd anti-codon position.
Source: RNAcentral